GACGAACGCUGGCGGCGUGCUUAACACAUGCAAGUCGAACGGAAAGGCCCUGCUUUGGUGGGGUGCUCGAGUGGCGAACGGGUGAGUAACACGUGAGUAACCUGCCCUUGACUUUGGGAUAACUUCAGGAAACUGGGGCUAAUACCGGAUAGGAGCUCCUGCUGCAUGGUGGGGGUUUGAAAGGUUCGGCGGUUGGGGAUGGACUCGCGGCUUAUCAGCUUGUUGGUGGGGUAGUGGCUUACCAAGGCUUUGACGGGUAGCCGGCCUGAGAGGGUGACCGGCCACAUUGGGACUGAGACACGGCCCAGACUCCUACGGGAGGCAGCAGUGGGGAAUAUUGCACAAUGGGCGGAAGCCUGAUGCAGCAACGCCGCGUGCGGGAUGACGGCCUUCGGGUUGUAAACCGCUUUCGCCUGUGACGAAGCGUGAGUGACGGUAAUGGGUAAAGAAGCACCGGCUAACUACGUG
RNAcentral lists this ribosomal RNA (468 nucleotides) under uncultured bacterium. Its description in RNAcentral is "partial 16S ribosomal RNA". It matches the Rfam family "Bacterial small subunit ribosomal RNA", at positions 28 to 507 of the family's 1533-position model. The record is from RNAcentral.